GCCUCUUUAGCUCAGCUGGUCAGAGCGCAUGAUUUGUAAUCUUGAGGUCGUUGGUUCGAAUCCGACAAGAGGCU
Molecule: transfer RNA, 74 nt
Filed under: Hoylesella loescheii
Lineage: Bacteria; Pseudomonadati; Bacteroidota; Bacteroidia; Bacteroidales; Prevotellaceae
Also listed under: 6 other names
Description: tRNA-Thr(tgt)
Rfam family: tRNA
About the family: Transfer RNA (tRNA) molecules are approximately 80 nucleotides in length. Their secondary structure includes four short double-helical elements and three loops (D, anti-codon, and T loops). Further hydrogen bonds mediate the characteristic L-shaped molecular structure. tRNAs have two regions of fundamental functional importance: the anti-codon, which is responsible for specific mRNA codon recognition, and the 3' end, to which the tRNAs corresponding amino acid is attached (by aminoacyl-tRNA synthetases). tRNAs cope with the degeneracy of the genetic code in two manners: having more than one tRNA (with a specific anti-codon) for a particular amino acid; and 'wobble' base-pairing, i.e. permitting non-standard base-pairing at the 3rd anti-codon position.
Source: RNAcentral